GAUGAACGCUGGCGGCGUGCCUAAUACAUGCAAGUCGAGCGAACGGACGAUAUUCUUGCUUCUCUCAUGUUACCGUCGGACGUGUGAUUAACACGUGCAUAACCUACCUUUAAGACUUGGAUAACUUCGUGAAACCUUAUCUCAUACCCGAUAAUAUUUUGAACCCCAUGGUUCAAAAGUUCUCGACGUUCUUGCUGUCACUUUUAGAUGUUUCCUCGCUGCAUUAGCUAUUUGGUAAGGUAACGGCUUACCAAGGCAACGAUGCAUAGCCGACAUGAGAGGGUGAUCGGACACACUGGAACUGAGACACGGAACAGACGCCUACGGGAGGCAGCAGUAGGGAAUGUUGGGCAAUGGGGGAAAGCAUGACGGAGCAAAGCCGCGUGAGUGAAGAAGGUCUUCGGAUCGUAAAAAGCUGUUAUGAGGGAAGAAAAUAUGUGUAAGAAAAUGUGGAGAGAAUGACGGUACCUAAAGAGAAAGCAACGGCUAACUACGUG
RNAcentral lists this ribosomal RNA (497 nucleotides) under uncultured bacterium. Its description in RNAcentral is "partial 16S ribosomal RNA". It matches the Rfam family "Bacterial small subunit ribosomal RNA", at positions 28 to 507 of the family's 1533-position model. The record is from RNAcentral.